Callorhinus ursinus (northern fur seal) is the source of this 227-nucleotide non-coding RNA. RefSeq annotates it as small Cajal body-specific RNA 6. The record is from RefSeq and is a predicted model, not a curated record. NCBI's taxonomy places the organism in Eukaryota, Metazoa, Chordata, Mammalia, Carnivora, Otariidae.
AUUCUAUGAGGAGUAGUGAAAGGUCUGACUCCCAGGGUCCCCUCCCUGCACCCUUGGCAUCCCCUUGGGCUCCAGUACUGCCGAGUCGGGCAGAAGGGGGGCGGUGCUGGGUGGUGCCCCAGUGCUGUGCUCCUUGGCUAGCACCCCACAGUCACCAGCCCCGGGGGUUUGACUGUUGGGAGUGCGCAGCUCUUUGUGGUUAUGGUCUGACGUUUCAAGCUGAGACC